Molecule: ribosomal RNA, 490 nt
Filed under: uncultured bacterium
Lineage: Bacteria
Description: partial 16S ribosomal RNA
Rfam family: Bacterial small subunit ribosomal RNA
Source: RNAcentral
GAUGAACGCUAGCGAUAGGCUUAACACAUGCAAGUCGAGGGGCAGCAUGGUCUUAGCUUGCUCAGACUGAUGGCGACCGGCGCACGGGUGCGUAACGCGUAUGCAACCUGCCUCACAGAGGGGGCUAACCCGUCGCAAGACGGACUAAUACCGCGUACACUCUAUUUUGGGCAUCCAAGGUAGAGGAAAUGAAAUUCGCUGUUAGAUAGGCAUGCGUCCCAUUAGCUAGUUGGUGAGGUAACGGCUCACCAAGGGGACGAUGUGUAGCGGAACUGAGAGGUGGCACCCCCACACUGGUACUGAGACCCGGACCAGAAUGCUACGGGGGGCAGGGGUAAGGAAUAUUGGGCAAGGGGGGAGAGCCUGACACAGCCAAGUCGCGUAAAGAGUGACUGGCUUAGGGAUUGUAAACUUCUUUUGAAGAGGAAUUAAGAGAGGCACGAGUGCCGCAGUGAAGGUACCCAACGAAUAAGCAUCGGCUAACUCCGUG